RNAcentral lists this small RNA (302 nucleotides) under Fragilariopsis cylindrus CCMP1102. RNAcentral's name for it is "5' ureB small RNA". It matches the Rfam family "5' ureB small RNA". Lineage: Eukaryota; Bacillariophyta; Bacillariophyceae; Bacillariales; Bacillariaceae. The record is from Rfam by way of RNAcentral.
CAUCAUCAAAUUGUUGUGGACAGAUAUAGUGUACAUGUGUAUCAAUCCCACCAGCUGUAACAAUUAAUUUUUCACCAGCAAUCACAUCAGUUGUGGCACCAACAAUCAUACAUUCUGGUGUUAUACCAUCCAUCAUAUCCGGAUUACCUGCUUUACCAAUACCAACAAUUUUAUUACCUUUUAUACCAAUAUCAGCUUUAAUUAUACCAGUUAUUGAAUCAAUAAUUAAUGCAUUUGUUAUAACAACAUCUAAUGCUCUAUCCGAUUGUACACUGGUUGACUUAGAUUGAUUUUUUGAUGUG